Molecule: transfer RNA, 73 nt
Filed under: Capra hircus (goat)
Lineage: Eukaryota; Metazoa; Chordata; Mammalia; Artiodactyla; Bovidae
Also listed under: 1 other name
Rfam family: tRNA
About the family: Transfer RNA (tRNA) molecules are approximately 80 nucleotides in length.
Source: Rfam by way of RNAcentral
UCCUUGGUGGUCUAGUGGCUAAAACUCCGUGUUCCCAAUGCAGGGGGCUCAGGUUCGAUUCCUAGUCAGGGAA